CUCAGGACGAACGCNGGCGGCGUGCCUAAUACAUGCAAGUCGAACGCUUCUUUCCUCCCGAGUGCUUGCACUCAAUUGGAAAGAGGAGUGGCGGACGGGUGAGUAACACGUGGGUAACCUACCCAUCAGAGGGGGAUAACACUUGGAAACAGGUGCUAAUACCGCAUAACAGUUUAUGCCGCAUGGCAUAAGAGUGAAAGGCGCUUUCGGGUGUCGCUGAUGGAUGGACCCGCGGUGCAUUAGCUAGUUGGUGAGGUAACGGCUCACCAAGGCCACGAUGCAUAGCCGACCUGAGAGGGUGAUCGGCCACACUGGGACUGAGACACGGCCCAGACUCCUACGGGAGGCAGCAGUAGGGAAUCUUCGGCAAUGGACGAAAGUCUGACCGAGCAACGCCGCGUGAGUGAAGAAGGUUUUCGGAUCGUAAAACUCUGUUGUUAGAGAAGAACAAGGACGUUAGUAACUGAACGUCCCCUGACGGUAUCUAACCAGAAAGCCACGGCUAACUACGUGCCAGCAGCCGCGGUAAUACGUAGGUGGCAAGCGUUGUCCGGAUUUAUUGGGCGUAAAGCGAGCGCAGGCGGUUUCUUAAGUCUGAUGUGAAAGCCCCCGGCUCAACCGGGGAGGGUCAUUGGAAACUGGGAGACUUGAGUGCAGAAGAGGAGAGUGGAAUUCCAUGUGUAGCGGUGAAAUGCGUAGAUAUAUGGAGGAACACCAGUGGCGAAGGCGGCUCUCUGGUCUGUAACUGACGC
RNAcentral lists this ribosomal RNA (752 nucleotides) under Enterococcus faecalis. RNAcentral describes it as "bacterial SSU rRNA". It matches the Rfam family "Bacterial small subunit ribosomal RNA", at positions 23 to 746 of the family's 1533-position model. The record is from RNAcentral. Lineage: Bacteria; Bacillati; Bacillota; Bacilli; Lactobacillales; Enterococcaceae.